GCAACCCACUCCAGUACUCUUGCCUGGGAAAUCCCAUGGACAGAGGAGCCUGGAGGCUACAGUCCGUGGGGUCUCAAGAGUCGGACCACGGCUGAGAGACAGCACACCUGAGCAGCGUGGCAUUGCUGGGUGGCAGCAGGACUCACCAGGCUUCCGCAACAGGAGGCCACUCGUGUGUACCCGCUGUGUUCUAUGCGAAAUCCAGAAGACUUGUCACUAGAAGCUUGUCCCACUGUUUUGCAUCUAGCAACAAAACUGCUGCCAUCAGAACACUGUCGCCUGGUGCUGGGUGAGCAGAAGGUAGUCAUGGCUCAAAAAUAAGGAGAGAGAGAAGAAAGAACUGACCGCAGUAGGAGAGGCAUCCUGUCUAGUCCUGCUCUUGGUUUCCUGUGUGUACAUCGCCUCUUCCCAGUCAGAACAGGACACACUGUUGCUUUCAUUUGCUUCCCAGAGCUCGGCGCACAGAAGUCAUCAUGGCAUGUGGCUGUUUGCCUCGGCUAGUAAGAAAACCAGAAAAAGAAAGAAAGAAAAAGCCUCUAAACAUUUACUGAGCCUGAGAUCUGCAACAAGAGAAGCCACCGCAAUGGGAAGCUCGUGUACCACAAACUAGAGAAAUAGCUCGUGUACCACAAACUAGAGAAAUAGCUCCCUGCUUGCUGCAACAAGAGAAAGCCCCAGCAGCAAUGAAGACUCAGCACAACAAAAAUAAAUAAAUAAAAUAAUUUUUUUUUUUAAAAAGAGGUUAGCAAGUAACAGAACUUGAAUUUGAAAUCUGUCUAGCUUUGAAACCUGUGCUGUUGAAAUUUUAAACACUAACAAGUGUUGGUGAGGCUGUGGAAGAACUGGAAUCCCCAUACACUGCUGUUGGGCAUGCAAAAUCAUACAAUCACCUUGGAAAACAGUUUGGAAGUUUCUCCUAAGUUUAAAAUGUACCCUUACCAUAUGACCCAGCAACAUAUUCCUGUGUUUUCCCCAAAGAAAAGAAAUAUACAUCUAUAUAAAAAGUUGAACAAAAAUGUUGAUAGCAGUUUUUCUCAUAAAAGUCCAACACUGGAAGCUCAAACUAAUGACAGGAAAAUGGAAUGAACAAAUUGGUAUACCCAUACAAUUGAAUACUACUCAGCAGUGAAAACUACCAAGCCUCACAACAUGAAUGGAUCUCAAAAAGAAGCCAAAUAUGUAGGAAAUACUCUGUGGAACUUCCCUGGUGGCUCAGAUGGUAAAGCAUCUGCCUGCAAUGCAAGAGACUGGAGUUCAGUCCCUGGGUCAGGAAGAUCCCCUGGAGAAGGAAAUGGCAACCCACUCCAGUAUUCUUGCCUGGAGAAUCCCCUGGACUGUGGACCCUGGUGGGCUACAGCCCACUGGGUCACAAAGAGUUGGACACAACUGAACAACUAACACUUUCAUAUACUCUGUGUGAAAUUCUGUUUAUAUGAAAUUCUAGAAAAGGUAAAAUAGAUCUAUAAUGACUGGAAACAGACAUGUGGACUCCCUCGGCUGGGGCAGUGAGUGCAAGAGGGCUUGAGAGAGGUAAUUUUGGGUAGUGGGACUGCUUUAUAUCUUGAUUGUGGUGGGGAUGCAUUUGUCAAAACUCAUUAGAUACACUGAAAAUGGGUGCAUUGUAUCAUUUAUGUUACACCUCAGUAAAGUAGAUUUUUUAAAAAAAGCAACAA
This is a long non-coding RNA of Dama dama (fallow deer), 1673 nucleotides long. RefSeq lists it as uncharacterized. The transcript has 4 exons. NCBI's taxonomy places the organism in Eukaryota, Metazoa, Chordata, Mammalia, Artiodactyla, Cervidae. The record is from RefSeq and is a predicted model, not a curated record.